Molecule: ribosomal RNA, 504 nt
Filed under: uncultured bacterium
Lineage: Bacteria
Description: partial 16S ribosomal RNA
Rfam family: Bacterial small subunit ribosomal RNA
Source: RNAcentral
AUUGAACGCUGGCGGCGGGCCUAACACAUGCAAGUCGAGCGGUAGCACAGGGAGCUUGCUCCUGGGUGACGAGCGGCGGACGGGUGAGUAAUGUCUGGGAAACUGCCUGAUGGUGGGGGAUAACUACUGGAAACGGUAGCUAAUACCGCAUAACGUCGCGAGACCAAAGAGGGGGACCUUCGGGCCUCUUGCCAUCAGAUGUGCCCAGAUGGGAUUAGCUAGUAGGUGGGGUAACGGCUCACCUAGGCGACGAUCCCUAGCUGGUCUGAGAGGGUGACCAGCCAAACUGGAACUGAGACACGGUCCAGACUCCUACGGGAGGCAGCAGUGGGGAAUAUUGCACAAUGGGCGCAAGCCUGAUGCAGCCAUGCCGCAUGUAUGAAGAAGGCCUUCGGGUUGUAAAGUACUUUCAGCGGGGAGGAAGGUGUUGAGGUUAAUAACCUCAGCAAUUGACGUUACCCGCAGAAGAAGCACCGGCUAACUCCGUGCCAGCAGCCGCGGUAA